GAUGAACGCUGGCGGCGUGCUUAACACAUGCAAGUCGAACGAAGAUGUCGGAGUGCUUGCACUUUGGCAGACUGAGUGGCGGACGGGUGAGUAACGCGUGGGUAACCUGCCUUAUACAGGGGGAUAACAGUUGGAAACGACUGCUAAUACCGCAUAAGCGCACGGUAUCGCAUGAUACAGUGUGAAAAACUCCGGUGGUAUAAGAUGGACCCGCGUCUGAUUAGCUUGUUGGUGAGGUAACGGCCCACCAAGGCGACGAUCAGUAGCCGGCCUGAGAGGGUGAACGGCCACAUUGGGACUGAGACACGGGCCCAAACUCCUACGGGAGGCAGCAGUGGGGAAUAUUGCACAAUGGGGGAAACCCUGAUGCAGCGACGCCGCGUGAGUGAUGAAGUAUUUCGGGUAUGGUAAAACUCUAUCAGCAGGGAAGAUAAUGACGGUACCUGACUAAGAAGCACCGGCUAAAUACGUGCCAGCAGCCGCGGU
RNAcentral lists this ribosomal RNA (486 nucleotides) under uncultured bacterium. Its description in RNAcentral is "bacterial SSU rRNA". It matches the Rfam family "Bacterial small subunit ribosomal RNA", at positions 28 to 521 of the family's 1533-position model. The record is from RNAcentral.